GCCUGAUGCAGCGACGCCGCGUGCGGGAUGACGGCCUUCGGGUUGUAAACCGCUUUUGACAGGGACGAAGCGCAAGUGACUGUACCUGUAGAAUAAGGACCGGCCAACUACGUGCCAGCAGCCGCGGUAAUACGUAGGGUCCGAGCGUUGUCCGGAAUUACUGGGCGUAAAGAGCUUGUAGGCGGUUCGUCGCGUCGUUUGUGAAAACUUGGGGCUCAACCUUAAGCUUGCAGGCGAUACGGGCGGACUAGAGUACUUCAGGGGAGACUGGAAUUCCUGGUGUAGCGGUGAAAUGCGCAGAUAUCAGGAGGAACACCGGUGGCGAAGGCGGGUCUCUGGGAAGUAACUGACGCUGAGAAGCGAAAGCAUGGGUAGCAAACAGGAUUAGAUACCCUGGUAGUCCAUGCCGUAAACGGUGGGUACUAGGUGUGGGGCUCCUUCCACGGACUCCGUGCCGUAGCUAACGCAUUAAGUACCCCGCCUGGGGAGUACGGCCGCAAGGCUAAAACUCAAAGAAAUUGACGGGGGCCCGCACAAGCGGCGGAGCAUGUGGAUUAAUUCGAUGCAACGCGAAGAACCUUACCUGGGUUUGACAUACACCGGAAACCUGCAGAGAUGUAGGCCCCCUUGUGGUCGG
RNAcentral lists this ribosomal RNA (637 nucleotides) under Nocardia sp. Se1Pt_1562. RNAcentral's name for it is "bacterial SSU rRNA". It matches the Rfam family "Bacterial small subunit ribosomal RNA", at positions 381 to 1030 of the family's 1533-position model. Lineage: Bacteria; Bacillati; Actinomycetota; Actinomycetes; Mycobacteriales; Nocardiaceae. The record is from RNAcentral.